AGAUCAGAUGUGAGCUCCCAUCUUCUUCUCUAGCACCAGGCUUGCCCAUGGGCAUGCUGCAUACUCUCUGCCGUGAUGAUAAUGAACCAACCCUCUGAAACUAGACAUGAAGGGGCAAGAUCCAGGAUUGUGUGAACAGAGCAUUGAGCACAGUACUCCUUGCCUGUAGCCACAUUGAUAUCUUCACUCUUUAGUAGAUGCUUGCUGAAUACCUGCUGCACGCCAAGUGUGCAGCCAGGCCCUGGGGUCCAGCAGGCCGUGAGAUGGAGACAGGCCCCAAUGGACAACCAAUGUGUGGUUCCGCCAAAGCUUUACUUAGCGACCAGUGAGUUCGACUGAAUGUGUGACCCUAUAAGAGUUACAACUCCGAGGGGAAAGUCUUCCAAAGUGGAAGUAUUGCAGCUCUGAAGGGAAAAGUGUCCUGGCAAUUGGGAGCCAAGGAAUACCACAUGGUCACACCAU
RNAcentral lists this long non-coding RNA (462 nucleotides) under Cricetulus griseus (Chinese hamster). RNAcentral's name for it is "lncRNA (ENSCGRG00015030451.1)". Lineage: Eukaryota; Metazoa; Chordata; Mammalia; Rodentia; Cricetidae. The record is from RNAcentral.